This is a long non-coding RNA of Solea solea (common sole), 229 nucleotides long. RefSeq lists it as uncharacterized. The transcript has 3 exons. NCBI's taxonomy places the organism in Eukaryota, Metazoa, Chordata, Actinopteri, Pleuronectiformes, Soleidae. The record is from RefSeq and is a predicted model, not a curated record.
GAAACUUGUCAACAUUCUGGUGGCAGAUAUGAUUGAAAGUCAUGGGAGGAUCCCUCCAGUCAAUGUACGCAUUACCUAUGCCCUUGGAAUUGUCACUCUUUUCCCCAAUCUGAGAGAUAAGGAAUCAGCCACUGGUUAUGAGCAUUACUAUGAUCCUCACAGUGGACAGGGCUACCUGGCCUACCGAUUGAAGACGGUUCAGCGCAACAGUGCAAGUGACACCAAAAGG